UCAGGGCUGGUGCGCUGGGAUGACCCUGAGGGAUGGGAUGGGGAGGGAGGAGGGAAGGGGGUUCAGGAUGGGAACACAUGUACACCCGUGGCUGAUUCAUGUCAAUGUAUGGUACAAACCAGUACAAUAUUGUAAAGUAAUUAGCCUCCAAUUAAGAUAAAUAAAAGAUAGUUUUAAAAAAUUAUAUCUUGUUAUGUAUGCAGAGCAAGGCAGAGAGGAAGCAUGGAGGAAGCGGUUCCAGGGAAACAGAAGUGUGGGCAAAGGUCCAGAGACCUCAAAGCGCUGAAGGCGUGUCUGCACGUGAAUGACGCGGGAGAAGGAAGAAGAUGGAAGGAGAGACGGUUGUGGUGCUGACACCAGUCACACGGUCGGGCAAGCAGAUCUGGCACCGGAAGUUGGCUGAGUCCACGGCACGUGGCGGUGGGAGUGAGUCCAGCUCAUCAGUAUCUCUGCUCUGCGAAGGAAGCACCCUGAGGUCUCAGAAACCCCCAGGAGUCUGGAGGACAGCCCUGCCUGUUAGCUGCCUGGAACUCCGUACCCCUACCACGGCCGCAUGUCUACCCUCAAGAACGAAGCCCCGGGGGCAGCUGCGUGCCACCUAAUCAGACUUUUAUUCAUCUUUUUUUUCCCUUUGCCGUGUGCAAGAAGACAAGCUAAUGUUCAGAUUUUUGCUGCCUCUCUUCAUCUUCUAUCUAGCUUCUAUUAAUUUACAGAACACUUUUUCUUCUGAGUUAUUCAAAUGGUGAGAUGUCCACAUUCUCUUACAACAGCUUUGCACUGGAAUUCAUUCUCCUAUUGAACCCAAAAUAAACUUACGUAUUUGAAAGUGUUUAAUGUCUGUGCAUAAUAUUCUUUACAACUUAUGAAAGAAAUAUUUUUAAGAAGAGUUGGCACAGAACAUGUUCAGACAUUGUUACAGGUCCUACAGCACUUGGCCCAUAGUAGGACCCAAUAAAUAUUUGUUGCAUGAGAGAAGAGACGGCAGUAAUUACUCAGUGAAAGAAUAGUNNNNNNNNNNNNNNNNNNNNNNNNNNNNNNNNNNNNNNNNNNNNNNNNNNNNNNNNNNNNNNNNNNNNNNNNNNNNNNNNNNNNNNNNNNNNNNNNNNNCGGCAGUAAUUACUCAGUGAAAGAAUAGUGAACAGUCAUUUUGGCAAACAGAUAAAAACCAGCUGAGAAUGAGCUGUUGUCAGUUACACAAAGCUUGUUGUCAAGAGCAGCAAUUCACCAUUAAGAAAAAAAAUACCCAAGUUGUCUAAACAGGAUAUAACCAAGAAUUUACUCAUUCUAAGCCAAACCGGCCUUUUCAUAAGUGCUAAUAAAAAUAGUCUUGCCAAUUUCAGAGAUUCUUGCCUGUCAAGUCUUAAAUUCAGAACCCUAUAAACUAUCUAUGAAGUCAGAUAAUGUGUCUGUAGAGCCAGACACAUGCACAGACCUCAUGCCGUAGACGGAUCAUAAGUCAUUCUUUCCCUCUUAGUCUCUCUCCUUAAAGACUGUAGAAGUCAAAAACUGGUCUAUAAAUAUCAAAAGUUUCAAUAUAUUGCAUUUUCCCCUUCCCAACAAGUCAAGAAGAGCCAAGAGCUCUGAAAUGUGUACAGAUUAUUCCCCAUCAAUAUAGUCAGUGCCUACCUGCUAAGCUGAGCCAAGAGCUUUGACACCUUUGAAGCACAACUCUGAACACGCCAGUAACUCAAGGUUAGAGAUCCAGAGGAAGCCAGCUAAAAACCAGAACGACCUGAUGACGUGACCAAACGCUAACGCCAUUUCAUAAAAUCGUAGCACAGAAUGUCUUGGCAGUAAUGGGUGUGUGUGAAUGCUCAGUGCAGGGUCCGACUCUUUGCAACCCCAUGGCCUGUAGCCUACCAGGCUCCUCUGUCUGUGGGAUUUUCUAGGCACACAUACUGGAGUGGGUUGCCAUUUCUUCUUCAGUCAGGGGAUCUUCCUGGCCCAGGGAUCAAACUCAUGUCUCCUGCACUGCAGUUGGAUUCUUUACCACUGAGCCACUGCCACUGGGGAAGCUCACGUACGCUUAAGCUUACAUAACUCAGGCCGCACAGGACUGGACUGGCAGCCCGAGUCUGCCUGACCCCCAAAUCCGCUCUCCUCUCCAUAGGAGCUGCAAAACCACUAUAGAGAAUCAACAGAAUCAUCUCCAAUGGAGACAUCCUUUGUUGCUGAAAACUUUUUAAAAAUUGUUUUAUUUAUUUGUUUCUGAAGUUCUUUCAGUUUCACAUUAGUUGCCCUUCAGGAAAAAGGGCAAGUUCCAUGUUAUAGGUAAAGAAAACUCAUUCUCUAUAUUCUGUAAUAGCCUAAAUGGGAAAAUAUUAGAUACAUGUGUUUGCAUAAUUAAAUCACUUUGCUGUAAACCUGAAACCAACACAACUGUUAGUCAACAAUAUUCCGAUAUAAAAUAAAAAUUAAAAGAAUAAAAUUCAUUCUCAGUUAUGUGUGCAGGUUUGAAAAACUAGUGUGACAAGAUUCCAUGGAUCAAAAACAGAAUGCUUGCAAUGUACACAUCUUGGAAAUAUUUACAACAUAAAUGAUUCGCUUGCCCAAUAGAACUAUGUGCAUUUAAACAUAUUGUAUGUGAAAUACAAACUCCAGGAGAUAGUGAAGGACAGGGAAGCCUGGCAUGCUGUAGUCCAUGCGGUCAAACAGAGUUGGGCAGGACUUAGAGACUGAACAGCCACAACAACAUAUGAAACACACUGCAAGUUUUUCCCAGUGAAUUUGCAUUUUGAACACUUUGAUUACUCCAAGUGCCACCUAUCCCCUGUUCUUGGGCCCUGGGAUUGAGGUCCAGGGAGCCAGGAGGCCACAGGAUUCUCAGUUCUCAUCAACCCCACAGCUAUGCAGUAGAGGCAACUGGCAAACCUUACAUGAGGACAACCUACCUUUAAGUUGGAAAAGCCCGAAGCUGAACACAUGGGCACCAGCUGUUUUUCUAUUCAAGAGGAUUUACCAAGUGUCUCUUUCACACUCAGUAUAAAGGCUCUUUCAGCCAUAUGCUGUGGCGUCUUCAGCACAUUUCCAGUCUGUGGCACCCAGAUGCAAACUUUGACUAGACUGAGUCUUUGUAGAUAGAACUGGUCUGAAUCAGUGCGGAAAAAGGAAGAUUGUA
This 3118-nucleotide long non-coding RNA is filed under the name Capra hircus (goat). RNAcentral describes it as "lncRNA (ENSCHIG00010016704.1)". The record is from RNAcentral. Lineage: Eukaryota; Metazoa; Chordata; Mammalia; Artiodactyla; Bovidae.